RNAcentral lists this ribosomal RNA (865 nucleotides) under Ostracoda sp. DC-2019. Its description in RNAcentral is "partial large subunit ribosomal RNA". It matches the Rfam family "Eukaryotic large subunit ribosomal RNA", at positions 367 to 944 of the family's 3401-position model. The record is from RNAcentral. Lineage: Eukaryota; Metazoa; Arthropoda; Ostracoda.
AAAAGAACUUUGAAGAAAGAGUUCAAGAGUGCGUGAAACCGUUUAUAGGUAAACAAAAAGCGCAAGCUGUGGAUAAUGGGGCACUCUCUAGGCUCUAUAUAAGGCAAAGUAUGUUUUGUGUAAUGUAAUGAUUAUUUAUAAUCAAAAAGCCAAUAUAUGCUUAUUGUCUAUAAUAGCAAGUCUAGUCUUCUCCCCAUCCACUAUCGCAACACAUUGGUUGUUUAACUAAUCUUCCAAUAGCUCUUUGCAAUGCUGGUUAGUUUAUUUAGAACUUGUUUUGAAUUUUCUUUCCAAUGCUUAGAUGUCUAGGUAAGAGACCGAUGGUAGUUGAAAUACUUGAUAUUAUAUUAGCAAUUUAUUGCUUAAAUUAUUCGCUUGAUAGGCGGAUUGUUAGGGCAUUAUGAAUGUAUUUUAUGUUCAGUGUUUCUUUCAUUCAUUUAUCAAAGUGAUUAAUACAUUUAAAUAAAUAUAAAAUAUUUUGCGAUAUUUAAAGCAUUGUGCUUUUUGACCCGUCUUGAAACACGGACCAAGGAGUCUAACAUGUGCGCAAGUCAUUGGGUAUUAAAUAAACCUACAGGCGAAAUGAAAAGUAAAGUUGAUUGUCUAACAAACAGUUGAUUAUGGAAGAUCCUAUGCUUAUUCCUACAAAGUUUUGGCAUAGGCGCAUUCCAGGGGCACUAUGAAUGCUUGCUUGCAAGUACAUUGUAGUGCACCAAGAGCGUACACGUUGGGACCCGAAAGAUGGUGAACUAUGCCUGGUAAGGUUGAAGCCAGAGGAAACUCUGGUGGAGGACCGCUUCGAUUCUGACGUGCAAAUCGAUCGUCAGAGCUGGGGUAUAGGGGGCGAAAGACUAAUCGAACCAUC